GAUGAACGCUAGCGGCAGGCUUAAUACAUGCAAGUCGUGGGGCAGCAGGGGCGUAGCAAUACGCUCGCUGGCGACCGGCAAACGGGUGCGGAACACGUACACAACCUUCCUUUAAGUGGGGAAUAGCCCGGGGAAACCCGGAUUAAUACCCCGUAACAUAAUGAAGUGGCAUCGCUUUAUUAUUAUAGCUCCGGCGCUUGAAGAUGGGUGUGCGACUGAUUAGGCAGUUGGCGGGGUAACGGCCCACCAAACCUACGAUCAGUAACUGGUGUGAGAGCACGACCAGUCACACGGGCACUGAGACACGGGCCCGACUCCUACGGGAGGCAGCAGUAAGGAAUAUUGGUCAAUGGACGCAAGUCUGAACCAGCCAUGCCGCGUGGAGGAUGAAGGUCCUCUGGAUUGUAAACUUCUUUUAUCUGGGAAGAAAUCCAUGAAUUCUUUUGUGGUUGACGGUACCAGAUGAAUAAGCACCGGCUAACUCCGUGCCAGCCGCCGCGGUAA
This 504-nucleotide ribosomal RNA is filed under the name uncultured bacterium. RNAcentral describes it as "partial 16S ribosomal RNA". It matches the Rfam family "Bacterial small subunit ribosomal RNA", at positions 28 to 523 of the family's 1533-position model. The record is from RNAcentral.